GCGCCUACGGGACGCAGCAGUGGGGAAUAUUGCGCAAUGGGGGAAACCCUGACGCAGCAACGCCGCGUGAGUGAGGAAGUAUCUCGGUAUGUAAAGCUCUAUCAGCGGGGAAGAAAGAGGACGGUACCCGACUAAGAAGCCCCGGCUAACUACGUGCCAGCAGCCGCGGUAAUACGUAGGGGGCAAGCGUUAUCCGGAUUUACUGGGUGUAAAGGGGGCGCAGACGGCAGCGCAAGCCAGGAGUGAAAGCCCGGGGCCCAACCCCGGGACUGCUCUUGGAACUGCGCGGCUGGAGUGCAGGAGGG
Molecule: ribosomal RNA, 305 nt
Filed under: uncultured bacterium
Lineage: Bacteria
Description: bacterial SSU rRNA
Rfam family: Bacterial small subunit ribosomal RNA
Source: RNAcentral